UACGUAGGCAGCGAGCGUUGUUCGGAAUUACUGGGCGUAAAGAGUGUGUAGGCGGUGCUCUAAGUUCGGUGUGAAAUCUCCCGGCUCAACUGGGAGGGUGCGCCGAAAACUGGAGUGCUUGAGCGUGGGAGAGGAAAGCGGAAUUCCUGGUGUAGCGGUGAAAUGCGUAGAUAUCAGGAGGAACACCUGCGGUGUAGACGGCUUUCUGGACCACAAGCUGACGCUGAGACACGAAAGCGUGGGUAGCAAACAGG
This 254-nucleotide ribosomal RNA is filed under the name uncultured bacterium. Its description in RNAcentral is "partial 16S ribosomal RNA". It matches the Rfam family "Bacterial small subunit ribosomal RNA", at positions 524 to 776 of the family's 1533-position model. The record is from RNAcentral.